Molecule: ribosomal RNA, 2912 nt
Filed under: Staphylococcus aureus
Lineage: Bacteria; Bacillati; Bacillota; Bacilli; Caryophanales; Staphylococcaceae
Description: partial 23S ribosomal RNA
Rfam family: Bacterial large subunit ribosomal RNA
Source: RNAcentral
UAAGGGCGCACGGUGGAUGCCUUGGCACUAGAAGCCGAUGAAGGACGUUACUAACGACGAUAUGCUUUGGGGAGCUGUAAGUAAGCUUUGAUCCAGAGAUUUCCGAAUGGGGAAACCCAGCAUGAGUUAUGUCAUGUUAUCGAUAUGUGAAUACAUAGCAUAUCAGAAGGCACACCCGGAGAACUGAAACAUCUUAGUACCCGGAGGAAGAGAAAGAAAAUUCGAUUCCCUUAGUAGCGGCGAGCGAAACGGGAAGAGCCCAAACCAACAAGCUUGCUUGUUGGGGUUGUAGGACACUCUAUACGGAGUUACAAAGGACGACAUUAGACGAAUCAUCUGGAAAGAUGAAUCAAAGAAGGUAAUAAUCCUGUAGUCGAAAAUGUUGUCUCUCUUGAGUGGAUCCUGAGUACGACGGAGCACGUGAAAUUCCGUCGGAAUCUGGGAGGACCAUCUCCUAAGGCUAAAUACUCUCUAGUGACCGAUAGUGAACCAGUACCGUGAGGGAAAGGUGAAAAGCACCCCGGAAGGGGAGUGAAAUAGAACCUGAAACCGUGUGCUUACAAGUAGUCAGAGCCCGUUAAUGGGUGAUGGCGUGCCUUUUGUAGAAUGAACCGGCGAGUUACGAUUUGAUGCAAGGUUAAGCAGUAAAUGUGGAGCCGUAGCGAAAGCGAGUCUGAAUAGGGCGUUUAGUAUUUGGUCGUAGACCCGAAACCAGGUGAUCUACCCUUGGUCAGGUUGAAGUUCAGGUAACACUGAAUGGAGGACCGAACCGACUUACGUUGAAAAGUGAGCGGAUGAACUGAGGGUAGCGGAGAAAUUCCAAUCGAACCUGGAGAUAGCUGGUUCUCUCCGAAAUAGCUUUAGGGCUAGCCUCAAGUGAUGAUUAUUGGAGGUAGAGCACUGUUUGGACGAGGGGCCCCUCUCGGGUUACCGAAUUCAGACAAACUCCGAAUGCCAAUUAAUUUAACUUGGGAGUCAGAACAUGGGUGAUAAGGUCCGUGUUCGAAAGGGAAACAGCCCAGACCACCAGCUAAGGUCCCAAAAUAUAUGUUAAGUGGAAAAGGAUGUGGCGUUGCCCAGACAACUAGGAUGUUGGCUUAGAAGCAGCCAUCAUUUAAAGAGUGCGUAAUAGCUCACUAGUCGAGUGACACUGCGCCGAAAAUGUACCGGGGCUAAACAUAUUACCGAAGCUGUGGAUUGUCCUUUGGACAAUGGUAGGAGAGCGUUCUAAGGGCGUUGAAGCAUGAUCGUAAGGACAUGUGGAGCGCUUAGAAGUGAGAAUGCCGGUGUGAGUAGCGAAAGACGGGUGAGAAUCCCGUCCACCGAUUGACUAAGGUUUCCAGAGGAAGGCUCGUCCGCUCUGGGUUAGUCGGGUCCUAAGCUGAGGCCGACAGGCGUAGGCGAUGGAUAACAGGUUGAUAUUCCUGUACCACCUAUAAUCGUUUUAAUCGAUGGGGGGACGCAGUAGGAUAGGCGAAGCGUGCGAUUGGAUUGCACGUCUAAGCAGUAAGGCUGAGUAUUAGGCAAAUCCGGUACUCGUUAAGGCUGAGCUGUGAUGGGGAGAAGACAUUGAGUCUUCGAGUCGUUGAUUUCACACUGCCGAGAAAAGCCUCUAGAUAGAAAAUAGGUGCCCGUACCGCAAACCGACACAGGUAGUCAAGAUGAGAAUUCUAAGGUGAGCGAGCGAACUCUCGUUAAGGAACUCGGCAAAAUGACCCCGUAACUUCGGGAGAAGGGGUGCUCUUUAGGGUUAACGCCCAGAAGAGCCGCAGUGAAUAGGCCCAAGCGACUGUUUAUCAAAAACACAGGUCUCUGCUAAACCGUAAGGUGAUGUAUAGGGGCUGACGCCUGCCCGGUGCUGGAAGGUUAAGAGGAGUGGUUAGCUUCUGCGAAGCUACGAAUCGAAGCCCCAGUAAACGGCGGCCGUAACUAUAACGGUCCUAAGGUAGCGAAAUUCCUUGUCGGGUAAGUUCCGACCCGCACGAAAGGCGUAACGAUUUGGGCACUGUCUCAACGAGAGACUCGGUGAAAUCAUAGUACCUGUGAAGAUGCAGGUUACCCGCGACAGGACGGAAAGACCCCGUGGAGCUUUACUGUAGCCUGAUAUUGAAAUUCGGCACAGCUUGUACAGGAUAGGUAGGAGCCUUUGAAACGUGAGCGCUAGCUUACGUGGAGGCGCUGGUGGGAUACUACCCUAGCUGUGUUGGCUUUCUAACCCGCACCACUUAUCGUGGUGGGAGACAGUGUCAGGCGGGCAGUUUGACUGGGGCGGUCGCCUCCUAAAAGGUAACGGAGGCGCUCAAAGGUUCCCUCAGAAUGGUUGGAAAUCAUUCAUAGAGUGUAAAGGCAUAAGGGAGCUUGACUGCGAGACCUACAAGUCGAGCAGGGUCGAAAGACGGACUUAGUGAUCCGGUGGUUCCGCAUGGAAGGGCCAUCGCUCAACGGAUAAAAGCUACCCCGGGGAUAACAGGCUUAUCUCCCCCAAGAGUUCACAUCGACGGGGAGGUUUGGCACCUCGAUGUCGGCUCAUCGCAUCCUGGGGCUGUAGUCGGUCCCAAGGGUUGGGCUGUUCGCCCAUUAAAGCGGUACGCGAGCUGGGUUCAGAACGUCGUGAGACAGUUCGGUCCCUAUCCGUCGUGGGCGUAGGAAAUUUGAGAGGAGCUGUCCUUAGUACGAGAGGACCGGGAUGGACAUACCUCUGGUGUACCAGUUGUCGUGCCAACGGCAUAGCUGGGUAGCUAUGUGUGGACGGGAUAAGUGCUGAAAGCAUCUAAGCAUGAAGCCCCCCUCAAGAUGAGAUUUCCCAACUUCGGUUAUAAGAUCCCUCAAAGAUGAUGAGGUUAAUAGGUUCGAGGUGGAAGCAUGGUGACAUGUGGAGCUGACGAAUACUAAUCGAUCGAAGACUUAAUCAA